Molecule: long non-coding RNA, 2474 nt
Organism: Frieseomelitta varia
Lineage: Eukaryota; Metazoa; Arthropoda; Insecta; Hymenoptera; Apidae
Exons: 3
Source: RefSeq, a predicted model, not a curated record
AAAAUAAUAGAAAUAUUUUAGGUGAUAAAGUUAGAUGGUACACCCUGUAUAUUGUGGAAAAAAUAAAAUCCAAGGUAAAGUACUCCGAUAUCGAUGCCGCAUGAAUUUCAAAUUGACAAUAAUAAAUCUAUCCACGUCGAGAAUUACGGCUAGCUAUACACAUAUAUACACAUGUAUACAAUUUUUUUACGGAUCUAUACAAUGCAAAAUUCGAAUUUGUACAUGUUCGAUGUUCUAUCUCGACUAUGGACGGUUAAUACUUUUAGAUGAAGCUUCAAGUUUAUGUCGUGCAAGGGAAAACAUUAAAAAAAAUAAAUUGUUCAUUGCAGGAUAUUUACUCGUAUAGCAAAUCUUACUGUCGAAUUAAUUUAUCACGACCUGCAUUGUACGACACCUAUAUCGGAAACUAAAUUUACCUCGCGAUGAGAAAAUGCAUAUAGAUAAAGCACGAUAAAAAUGCAGGUACAUUUACCAUCUGUCAAGCAAUACAUACAUAUUUACGCACUUUAACUGAAAAGAUAACCGGAAAACAUGAAAUUACAGUUAAUUAAAAUUAAAUUACAUGUCUCUUGGUACUUUUAAUUGAUUCGGUCAAUUGUACCAGUUCAAAUGUUACACGAAUCUUUCUUAAAGCUUUAGAAAUACAGUAAUGUAAAAUUAUGAUAUUUUUUUAUGCUUUUGUUUUUUUUUUUAUAAUUAAAUGUCCUAAAAAUAACGUUAUCUUAUUAUGUUAAUAAUAACAAGAUACGAAAUUUUUCUCUUCCUUGUUACAAAAUAUACCAGACGUGAACUUCAUAGUUCGCACUGAUUGUAUUGAUCAUCUCAAUCAUCAUUCAACAUCAGGCGUAAACUUACUAGAUCUUUUAAAAAAAAAUUGUUGACCACAUAGUAAAAAUAAUUCUGUAUUAUACAGACAGAUUGUAUUCAGUCUCUCUAAGUAUAAAAGUCGUUUUAUGAGUUAAUUCGGAUAAUUUAAUUCUAAAACAUCACCUCUUGAUGAUGUGACUGAUCUAUGGAGUUCACACUGGCGUAGGAAGUGGUUGGGAACUGAUUGCUGUCAUUUUGGAGUAAAGGAGAGUCAGGCCCUUGACUCCUAAAUUCGUUUCCAGCCCUGCUGGCGCAUUCGUCGACUCUUCUACGCCCUCGGCGCGACAUCACGCCUGCAAAUAAUAGCAGGAAAUAACUACAAUUCGAGCUUUUACUUUAACAUGUUGUACGUUUUAGCCGACUAAAGGCAUGUCAAAUAAAUAAAUUAUAACAAAUUAUAAUGCAAAUAAUGACGCUUAAAAAAAGAAAAAGAACACAAAUGAUGGUAUAUUUGAAAAAUAGGAGGACAUGAAAUCUAUUCACCAGUGGCAAUACAUCUUUUCCAUAUCCCUCUUUUAUGCUUUCAAAUGAUGUUGCAAAAUAAUUUAAUUGAUGUUACAAUGAAACAACUAACAACUACUUCCGCUGCCAAUUAUAUUUACGUAAUUAGAUUAGAUUACCAAUAACACAGAAUAUAUAAGUAUUUGAUUUUAGUUACACGCAAUGGCAAUCUUACCACAAGAGCACUCAUGAAACGCAUGAAAUAGAAAAGAGAAGUCUUGCAACUAAUUUAUAACUAUUGAAACAACGAAAAGAAAAUGGCUUUAACAAAGCAGCAUAUUUUUAUAAAAAUAGAAAUAGAAAUAGAUAUAGAUAUCCCAUCCCACACUCAUCGACACACAGAGAUUGUUUUGUAAUAAGCAAAUUUCAGGAGAAAGCUUAGUAGUAUUUGCGGUUUCGAAUAUCUGUUGUGCAAGUGCAGGAAAUUCCAUUCGACGUGUCAAAAAUAUUUACAUAUUGCUUGUUCUCAGAGACUAAUUUUGAACUAAAGCCGGGUGUUGCUUCAAGCUGUGUCCAAGUGUGUAGACAAAGAUAGAAAUAUUGUAACGAUACAAAAGGAAGUGUAAAUGUAUCCUGCGUACCUAUCUCUCAUAUUCGAGCACUCUGAAGGUGGGUGUGCUUGUGGUGGGUGUGGGAGGAGAAUUGAGAUUGCUUACGCGAUGAUUCAAGGAAGUCUCCUGUACGUUGUCCAGAUUUCCUUGCAUUGCUCUCUUGUGAUUUGCCAACUUUUCUCUGUUCAUUGGUGUGCCUAGAACCACCAGAAGCCAUGACGAAGCUCUCUUAAGCUGUACUUUUAUUUUUAGUCUUUUCCCGAAUAGAAAUUACUAGAAGGUCGUCGAUACUUGAAGACAAAUUUCUAUGUUAAUAUACCAACAAAAAUAAAUAUAGAUAUUAACGUUACAAGCAAAAAAGACAUGAGUGAACGAGUUUUGUCUGUAAAACACAACCUUCUUGCAUGUCGAUCGUAUCUUCUAAUCUAGGGAUAUGAAAAUUAAACCUAUCUUUUACUACGUUAUUUAAGUAAACACUGGUGUUUUUUUUUUUUUUUUUUUUUUUUGUUCAGAUCAACAUAUAGGUGAAAUCCUUAAGCAACGUAAUAUGAUUUG